Molecule: ribosomal RNA, 910 nt
Filed under: uncultured bacterium
Lineage: Bacteria
Description: bacterial SSU rRNA
Rfam family: Bacterial small subunit ribosomal RNA
Source: RNAcentral
AGAGUUUGAUCAUGGCUCAGAACGAACGUUGGCGGCGUGGAUUAGGCAUGCAAGUCGAACGAAUCCCAGUCCUGUAGCAAUACAGGGCUGGGGGAAGUGGCGAAAGGGGCAGUAAUGCGUGGGUAACGUACCCCCUGGACUGGGAUAGCCUCGGGAAACCGAGGGUAAUACCAGGAGACGUAGCGCGGUCGCAUGGCCGGGCUACCAAAGGGUCCGCCGCCGGGGGAGCGGCUCACGUGGUAUUAGCUAGUUGGUGGGGUAACGGCCCACCAAGGCCGAGAUGCCUAGCAGGUGUGAGAGCAUGACCUGCGCCACUGGCACUGAGACACUGGCCAGACUCCUACGGGAGGCUGCAGUCGAGGAUCUUCGGCAAUGGGCGCAAGCCUGACCGAGCGACGCCGCGUGCGCGAUGAAGGCCUUCGGGUUGUAAAGCGCUGUCGAGGGGGAGGAAAGCCCCGCAAGGGGUCUGACCUAUCCCUGGAGGAAGCACGGGCUAAGUUCGUGCCAGCAGCCGCGGUAAGACGAACCGUGCGAACGUUGUUCGGAAUCACUGGGCUUAAAGGGCGCGUAGGCGGCUUGCCAAGUCCGGGGUGAAAUCUUUCGGCUUAACCGGAAAAGUGCCUUGGAUACUGGCGAGCUUGAGGGAGGUAGGGGCAUGUGGAACUUCCGGUGGAGCGGUGAAAUGCGUUGAUAUCGGAAGGAACGCCGGUGGCGAAAGCGACGUGCUGGACCUCUUCUGACGCUGAGGCGCGAAAGCUAGGGGAGCAAACGGGAUUAGAUACCCCGGUAGUCCUAGCCCUAAACGAUGGGUACUAGGUAGUGGACUUAACAUGGGUUCACUGCCGAAGCAAAAGUGUAAGUACCCCGCCUGGGGAGUAUGGUCGCAGGCUGAAACUCAAGGGAUUGACGG